CCUACGGGAGGCAGCAGUGAGGAAUAUUGGUCAAUGGGCGUAAGCCUGAACCAGCCAUCCCGCGUGAAGGAAGAAGGCGCUAUGCGUCGUAAACUUCUUUUCCAGAGGAAUAAAAUUUCGUACGUGUACGGAACUGAAGGUACUUUGGGAAUAAGCAUCGGCUAACUCCGUGCCAGCAGCCGCGGUAAUACGGAGGAUGCGGGCGUUAUCGGGAUUUAAUGGGUCGAAAGGGGACUAAGGCGUCAGUGUUGAAAACCUUCAGCUUAACUGGAGAACUGCCAUUGAUACUGUUAGUCUUGAGUACGGUCAAGGUAGGCGGAAUGUGUAAUGUAGCGGUGAAAUGCUUAGAUAUUACACAGAACACCGAUUGCGAAGGCAGCUUACUGGGCCAUUACUGACGCUGAUGCACGAAAGCGUGGGGAGCGAACAGGAUUAGAUACCCUUGUAGUC
RNAcentral lists this ribosomal RNA (450 nucleotides) under uncultured bacterium. Its description in RNAcentral is "partial 16S ribosomal RNA". It matches the Rfam family "Bacterial small subunit ribosomal RNA", at positions 338 to 795 of the family's 1533-position model. The record is from RNAcentral.